CUUUAUGAAAACAAAAUAAAGCCUUACCUCGAAUCCUCUUCCAAAAAGCACUUUCAGCAACAUAAAUCUCCAUAAUGGCUCUAAAAUCAAUUUCCAACACCGACAUUGAGAUAUGAGACUCAAACAAUGUAACAGAUCUUGCGGAUCUAUGAACUCUUAUUUUUAGGGAGAAAUGGACGGUCUAGAUUAUUUAUUACAAUAACUAUAGUUUUAGAGCUUGAAAUCCUAUUUUUUUCACAACCAUAGUGUUCAAGCCAAGAUGAUCGAUGUAAAGGUUUUCUAAUGCUGGGUACUUGGUAGGAAGAGUGUCAAG
Molecule: long non-coding RNA, 313 nt
Filed under: Amborella trichopoda
Lineage: Eukaryota; Viridiplantae; Streptophyta; Magnoliopsida; Amborellales; Amborellaceae
Description: long non-coding RNA (ATRI_LNC004281)
Source: RNAcentral